Molecule: ribosomal RNA, 490 nt
Filed under: Streptococcus mitis
Lineage: Bacteria; Bacillati; Bacillota; Bacilli; Lactobacillales; Streptococcaceae
Description: bacterial SSU rRNA
Rfam family: Bacterial small subunit ribosomal RNA
Source: RNAcentral
UAGAGUUUGAUCCUGGCUCAGGACGAACGCUGGCGGCGUGCCUAAUACAUGCAAGUAGAACGCUGAAGGAGGAGCUUGCUCUUCUGGAUGAGUUGCGAACGGGUGAGUAACGCGUAGGUAACCUGCCUGGUAGCGGGGGAUAACUAUUGGAAACGAUAGCUAAUACCGCAUAACAGUAGAUGUUGCAUGACAUUUGCUUAAAAGGUGCAAUUGCAUCACUACCAGAUGGACCUGCGUUGUAUUAGCUAGUUGGUGGGGUAACGGCUCACCAAGGCGACGAUACAUAGCCGACCUGAGAGGGUGAUCGGCCACACUGGGACUGAGACACGGCCCAGACUCCUACGGGAGGCAGCAGUAGGGAAUCUUCGGCAAUGGACGGAAGUCUGACCGAGCAACGCCGCGUGAGUGAAGAAGGUUUUCGGAUCGUAAAGCUCUGUUGUAAGAGAAGAACGAGUGUGAGAGUGGAAAGUUCACACUGUGACGGUAUCUU